GUGCUCACUUCGGCAGCACAUAUACUAAAACUGGAACGAUAAAGAGAAGAUUAGCAUGGCCCCUGCGCAAGGAUGACACGAAAAUUCGUGAAGCGUCCAUUUUAUUU
This 107-nucleotide small nuclear RNA is filed under the name Propithecus coquereli (Coquerel's sifaka). Lineage: Eukaryota; Metazoa; Chordata; Mammalia; Primates; Indriidae. The record is from RNAcentral.